Molecule: ribosomal RNA, 252 nt
Filed under: uncultured bacterium
Lineage: Bacteria
Description: partial 16S ribosomal RNA
Rfam family: Bacterial small subunit ribosomal RNA
Source: RNAcentral
UACGGAGGAUGCGAGCGUUAUCCGGAUUUAUUGGGUUUAAAGGGUGCGCAGGCGGCACGGCAAGCCGGCGGUCAAAUCGCGGGGCUCAACCCCGCCCAGCCGUCGGAACUGCCGGGCUAGAGUGGGCGAGAAGUGCGCGGAGUGCGUGGUGUAGCGGUGAAAUGCAUAGAUAUCACGCAGAACUCCGAUUGCGAAGGCAGCGCACCGGCGCCCUACUGACGCUCAGGCACGAAAGCGUGGGUAUCGAACAGG